GGAUUAGAUACCCUGGUAGUCCACGCCGUAAACGAUGAUAACUAGCCGUUGGAUUUAUCCAGUGGCGCAGCUAACGCGUUAAGUUAUCCGCCUGGGGAGUACGGCCGCAAGGCUAAAACUCAAAUGAAUUGACGGGGACCCGCACAAGCGGUGGAGCAUGUGGUUUAAUUCGAUGCAACGCGAAAAACCUUACCUACACUUGACAUACUUCGAAUUUUCUAGAGAUAGAUUAGUGCCUUCGGGAACGGAGAUACAGGUGCUGCAUGGCUGUCGUCAGCUCGUGCCG
This 286-nucleotide ribosomal RNA is filed under the name uncultured bacterium. Its description in RNAcentral is "partial 16S ribosomal RNA". It matches the Rfam family "Bacterial small subunit ribosomal RNA", at positions 775 to 1067 of the family's 1533-position model. The record is from RNAcentral.